Molecule: non-coding RNA, 20333 nt
Organism: Nothobranchius furzeri (turquoise killifish)
Lineage: Eukaryota; Metazoa; Chordata; Actinopteri; Cyprinodontiformes; Nothobranchiidae
Source: RefSeq, a predicted model, not a curated record
GGAAAUACAGAUAUUAUUAUUCUCAUAUAUUUCAUGUUUGUUUAAAUUCAACCUGAACAAGCAGACAGUUUGGAAAAUGGGCUACAAUGACCAAAUUUAACCACAGGUUUUCGGUCUCACGCCACUCUUACAUAAUGCACCUUUAAACUGUUGGUAGUUCUCUAUCAAACCUAUGGCAUUUCAAACUAAACAGUGAAAAAAAAUCAUUAAAUCAAUAGCUGUCCCAAAACUAAGCUAAAUUACAUACAUUUCUUGGGAAAGGACCAAAUUGGAUGAAAACAUAUUUUAAUAAAUCACAUAUUUAAAUAUGUGAUUCCUGAGGAUUCUGAGAUAGAAGAAAGCGUUUGUUGUCCACCAUCUAGCAGCACUAAAUGAGCCGAAUGCCACAUUCACACCUAAAGGGUUUUUAAUUUUGUUUCAGCACCACCUCCAACAUAUAAAAUUAUAGAUUAGACAAGCUGAUGGCACAUCGUUUUAAUAUUUAUUCUAUUCCCUUCAGUUUGCUGAUGUGUGUACAUUAAUUUAAACACUUUCUUUGGUCUACAAGUAUUUCCACAUUAUAACCAUUUACAAUUUAGUAAAAGUUUGAGUCAUUUCAAAUUUGAGAAACUCCAAAUAUAUUACACACUUUAUGCGUAGUCUGGUCAAAACAUGCAAAUGUAUAUAUAUACAGACACACAACUGAUAUAUGUGUCUGAAAUUUACAAGUGGAAUACUAGUAUGCAUGUGUAUUUGUUCCUCUGUGGACCAAAAAUACUACCAGGCACAUGAGUUCUUGUCUUUGGAUUUCUUAUUUAGGAUGUAGAAUAGAUACAGAAGAGCUCAUUUCUGUUCUCACCACUGUCCUCAAUCUUUCAAAACAAUCUAAAGGGAAAAUCUAUUUUCUGCAUUUACGUUUUGCUCAAGGAUACACAAAAGACGUUCUGCCACAGUUUAAAACUGUACACAGCAAUCUAGUAUUUUACACAGAUGGAUUAUCUAUUAAAAAACAUGCAAGCAUGCAGCAAUGUACCACAGUAGAACAGCUCAUUUAACUCAGCGAAAGCAUUUAUUUAUAAUGUUAUAGCCCCAGUUUCAUCAUUCUGGUCAUGGCAGUUUUAGGGUUGUACUUGUUUUUUUCCAAGCCUGACUUGUGGCAACUCAUUAUUUUUUUCCUGUAGGAUUUUUCAUCAGAUAAGUCAUAAUCUGUCCAUCUAAAUGAUGCCCAUGACCACAAAACAUUAAAUGUCAGUAACUCUCAUCCACCUUUACAUCUCUAAGAUUCAACACAUUUAUAUCCCAAGCUAGUAACAUUAAAAGAUUGGAGUCUUUUUAGUGUUUUACAUGCAUAAGUUGCAUUUGUGAGUAUGCCUAUCUAGUUAUCUUUUCAGAUUUUGAACACAUGUAUACAUUUUUUUUUUAGUUGGGUUGUUUGUCUCAUUUAAUGCUGACUUAGAGAGUCUGACAAAUGGUUGGCUCAAAGGCUCACAGCCUCUAAAUACCUGAGGAGUUAAUUGGGUCAAACCAAUAGGUACUUUGACGGGGAGGAUGGUUUUUGUCUAGUUUCUUUUCAUUUCAAUAUAUAUAUUUGAUAAUUUUUCCUUAAUGUUUUAGAUUUGUUAACAAGCUAACUACAGCUUUGUUUUACCUUUUUUGUAGCCAAUAUUUGUAUUUUUUAUUUAUUUUUUGUCACCCCUUAUUACCAGGGUAUUAAAUUCUGGUCCUGGAGGGCCAGUAUCCAGCACGUUUUGGGUUUCUGUUCUCCAACACAUUGAUUUAGGGGUUCAAUCACCUGUGCAGCAGCUCAUCAGGCUCUGCUCAAGCCUGUAAAUCAUCUGCUGAUUGACAUCAGGUGUGUCUGGCCCAGAAUUGAAUACCCCUCCCUUUUUGUGUCAAGUAUUUGAUCAGCAUUGAUUACACUCAGGUGUGUCCUUGGCUUGUUCAGUCAGUAGAGUUCUUCUUGUAAAAUAGUAGAACUUUUUUUUUAACAUACUUAAUGAGCUUAAAGAUUUUGUUAAAUAUAGCAACAUUUAAAAGCCCAUCUUUUUUUCAAUUAAUCUUACGAGUUCUCUUGUUUUAACAACGCAGUAUUUCAUAACUAUAUUCAAAUGUGCAGUUAGCUAGAUUGAAAAGUACUUUUCAUUCAGUGAAAAAUGAUGGAGCUUCUACAACGAGUGUAAAAUGAUUUCAUGAAGUUUCCUAAAAUCCAUGAAAGACAAGUUCAAAAUGAACAGUUUUAUAAAUGUCCAACUUCAAGCACUUUUCUACAAUUAUAAAGUAUGCUAAAUUACUAAAGUCUAAUGAUUUUAAUAGUUGUUUUGGGAAACUGACUUAUUUUAUUAUCCAUGUUCUAUUGAUCAUUUGGCACAGAUUCUUUUCUCAUAAGCUGUCAGACUGAUUAAAAGAGUGGAUAAAAGAGUGGAUUGUAUUUAUUUGUGAUCAGUGCUGCAAAAUUUCCAUUUCGUGGAUCUUGCAACAGUUUAUUUUAGUCAUUUAGCAAGAAUUAUAUCCCAUAAUUGUGUUUGUGGAUCAGUGUUAAUUUUGACGAGACAUUUUUAUUCAGUUUUAUCCUUUUGACAAAAACAUUCUUUUUAAUUUUUGUCACAAUUUAGUCAUCCAAUUUCUUUUCAUUUUAGUCUAAUUUUAGUACACUCAAAUUGAAAGCAGUUUUAGUUGUAUUUUUAUUCUGAUGUAAUAGUUUUCAACUUAUGUAAAGGAAAUGUUAAAUUCACAUUUCACAGUAAACUCUAUAUUUAUAAUUGUUUCUAUAAUAAUAAUCACUGGAAUAUUCCAAAAGUAACACUGGCAGUUUAAAAUUGUGUCUGUCAGUAUUAACAAAGUAAACAAAUCUGUAUAUUGUGCAAUUAUAUUUGUAACAUGACAGCAAUGACAUCAUUCCAUCAAAACAUUAAAGUUUUACUGAGGAGGUAAACUAACGGUAAGAAUGGUUUCAAGGUGCAUUUAUUCGUUUUCAUUAGACUAAUUUAUCAAGGUGACACCUGAACGUUUCUCCUCACCAAAACACAGCUAGAACACCGAACUCUGGUCAUAUUGACCGUAGAAGUGUCACAAAAAGAAAAACAAGAUGCACGGCGGGCUGCUUCGUGAGCUCAGGCCAAUUCGCUCAGCUCAGACACCAGCCUUUCCUGCCCCCUGCUCGUUUCUAACACCGUAACACUAUUAAGCCUCAGAAACACAGAAGACAGAUACGCUGCAUCAAAUGCCACAGGUUUGGGAAGUCAGCGGGUCACAUAGGACUCGCUACAAAUACUUUUCAGAUGGUCAUAUUUAAUGUUUUUCCUUCCAGCCUCGGACAUUUAGACAUCAAUAUAUGAUGCCUGGUUACUGCUAGCUUGUUCAAACAGCAGCCGGUUCCGGACUCUUAUUAGUUAUUUUCUCAUCUGGUCUCGCCUGUUUCAUUUACUUAUAGGUCCUUUUUUCCAGACUCCGAUCUUUUCCAUUUUAUGAUUGCAUUUUUGUUUUUGUCGUUUCUUAUUCAUCAACAAAAACGUUGAUAAAUAUUCAUCAUUUCGUUUUCUUUAGUUCUUUGUUGUGCGCAGUGUGACGAGGGUUUGUUUUUACCUUUGCCGACAUGUUUAGACUUCACUGCCAUCUUCGUCAGGGUAACCGCCGGAUUUUGGUGGCGUCACUUCCUUUUAUCCACAGGCAGCAGAGGACGAUAUUGCCCUCUGCUACCCGCGCCCUCUCCGCUGAUCACAGUGUCCCAUAAAUGGUCCAGCGUGUAGACUCCUACUUCCCUGUUCAUGGUCCUGGAUCCACGCCUCCCUAUUUCAACUGCUUCUUUGAUCUAUCCUGAUCGCGGAUGAAAGGAAGUGAUGCCACCAACAUCCGGCGCUUACCCUGACAAAGACGGCAGUGACGCCGAAACAUGGCGGUAAAGGUAAAAACAAACCUAAAGACAGCGAAAUCAGAAAACAAACAUAGUACGAACAUAACAAAGAACAAUGUUCGUCAUAUUUUAGGCUUUUUUGACCUGUGUGUUUUUAUUUCAUUUUAGUCCGCAAAAAUUAAUUUGUUCCCCUCCCCCCCCCAAAAAAAACGAACAAAAUUAACACUGUUGUCGACACUACGUAAAAUAUUAUUAUUCAGGCUGAAGACACAUGAGUUAAAAGUGACUUGCACUUAAGGAUUAACAUGAAUGCUAUGAUUAUAUCAAUAACAUUAGCUGGGAGGCCAAUGUCAACACACAUACUUAGGAUUAUGGAUGUUUAAGGGGCCCCACAAUGAUGGUCCUCUGCUCUUUGCAUGUGCAUAAUGUAUAAGGCUUGAAGAUGGAUAUAAGGCAAUGCAGUUGACGACAUCAUAUUGAUGUGGAUCUCUCAGCAGGUUUAAUGUAUCUAAGUAUUGAUGGUAGAUGUACAGCCUUUUUUGUAACAAGGGAUUUUAGGAGCUCUGCUGUUAGCAUACCUUGUUAGCACACAGCUGCUACUAUGGAUUUACAAUUGAUCACAAGACACUUAGAGACACAUCUACAAUGAAAAGGCUUUGGGAUAGAAAAAUAAAAAAUAAAACGCACUUGCAUCAGGGCUGUUAUUACUUUAGUCCCAGUCAAGAGUGUGUGGUGGUAAAUGCAUUUCACCCUAACACAAUUCUAUGGAUUUAUUGCAAACAGACAAAUGUUUUGUUUAUCCUCCACUCAUGACCCUGUGGUGCUUAGAGGCUUUUUCGUUAGGGAGCGACUCAGUCACAUCCUGAAGGUAACAAUCUGCUGUUUUAUGCGUGAACACGUGUUCAAGGUUGGGGGUGUUGACUCUAAUCCCCACUGAUGCAUAGGAAGCUGUAAAACACACCAGUGCAUGCUUUAAUUCACGGCCACGGUCAUAAUCCGGUCCGGGAAAAUCACAAACAGAUUGGAUGACUAGAGACGACUACAGGGUGGACCAACACCAACUGGGAAUUUAUUGGAUUGCUGCCAAGGAUAAACACACCCCACCUUAUCCGAGAAUAUAGUGAUAAAGUGACUUGUGGAGUUUGGAUGUAAUAUCUGUUACGACCCCUCCCUUCCAACCGGGAGCAAUUCUGAAGUGAAACGGGAGCAAAAGCGCUCCAUGCCGCUGGUCCUGUGAGGUCACAAAAUCACAGGAGAAGUGCAACACCACAUGUGAUUUUAGAAGUUACAAGCAGUUAUGGUUACAACCAAAUAGGUCUGGUUUAUAUUCUGUACCAUUUUGCUCAGCUAUGGGGAGCUGCAUGUGACUUUUAUUUUGAAGGUUGCUGGAUGUUUGUUUGACUUCCUGUCUGGCCCAACCUAAAUUGCGAAGUUUGGCAUGUUUAGGAAGCGUAGUGCAUCCAAAAUAGACUUGAAAUGUAAUGAUAGCAUCCCUAUUCUGGGAUGUGUCUAAAACGUUGCUGCUGGUGGAAAAGAACUUGUCCACUAUCCACACCUGUCCACUAUAACAGAGGCUAAUUGCUUCAUAGUACAUUUUGCGGCCAUUUUGCAAUGAUUACACAUCUGAUGGAAGGAAGGUUGAGGGCCAGGAGUGUGUUUCAUCUUUUGGCAUUUUAUGGUGGUUGGCAAUCAACGUCAGGUGCAUAACCACCAUCUACCGAUCUGGGGUUUGGACUGGCACUUCUCUCGUAUCUCUCCUCUUAAAUGCUCCUCCCCACCACCCCCACGUCACCCAGAAACCUCAACACUUCUCUAAUACACUCAUCACUUGCCCCGCUUUUAACAUUUCUCUCACUUCCAGCCUGCACCCCUCUCUUCUUAAUGUUCUCUCCAGCCCAGACUUACUCUACACACCUGUGACCCAUUCAUUAAUUAGCUCACCUGCUUCUUAUUCAGUAAUCGUCCCUUUUCAUUUAAAGAGCAAGUAACGUCUAAAUUAACUUUUUUUGCUGAUGAACUGUAUAAAUGAGUGUCUAAUAGUGUUUUAAAUGUGUGCAUUCUUUAUUUUAGCAUUUUGGUGCAUUUUCUUUAAAAAUUAAAAAUUCUGUCUAAAAACCACAGUAAUGCGCCACCUUCAGCUGAAAACAUAGAAUUUGAGUCAUUUUGAAUAAAUUUUAGCCAAUGGCUAAAGAGUAAAGUACUACGUAAACCAGUAGAGUACUACGUAGCAGCUCCGUGCCAAAGUUAUAAAAGCAACGAGCGUCUCGGCCACGCCCUGUGGCGAGUGGGAGUUGGAUUUGCAAGCGAGUGUAGGAGGUCAGCGGUAGUUCAGCAUUAGCGUAUAGCAUUAGCAUAUCCUAGUCUUUAGCAUAUCUUUUAGUGUUAUAAAUACUUAUUUAGUGUUAGCUUGGCUGUUGUAUAUUAUAGUUUAGUUAGUGUUUGGCUGUUAAUGUAAUUGGGAAAGUAGUUCGGGUUUAGUGUUCCAUAUCGUCUUAGUAUUGGUGAGUAGGUGUAGUGUAGUAUGGUUGCGGUGACUCUGUGGGCAUUUUACCCGCGAUUCUGCACGUCUCCGUUUGAAGAGGGAGGCUGUGCCCACCGUGGCUCUUCCGCGAUUUGGAUGCAGCCCACCGACUCUGCUCCCCCACCACGGCGGGCUCCAGUCUGAGGUGAGUCAGCUAAAUAAACGUUUUAACAUCUUCUAAAGACAAUUCCCUACCUAAAUGCAAAGUCUGAGAGACGUGGUUCACUUCCUUUAGCUAGUCAGUCGGCAAUUCUGCAACAGUGACUAACUGACGCAGCACUUGUUGACAGCAUUACAGCGUGAAAUCCAGCUUGUGACCCGGUUCUGUGAGGAAUUCUGUUCAGGAGGUCACAUUUCAGGCUCUCCACAUCAUAUGUGACUGACUUUUACGUUAUAACAACGAUCACACACUAGGAAUGUUAUAAAGCGCCUAUAUAGGAGAUUCUUUUGUAUAUUAUCUGACUAUAAACUCCAACAACAAUGUGCUUCUAUUUUUUUUUUUCAGGCUAAAUCUACCCAAGACACUGGCUGUCAGACUGAUUUAGCUGCAUGAAUGUACUUGUCCAGGCUGAUGUGAAACCUUCCCUGUAGCAAAGCCAGCCAGAAUGGAGUUCACAGCCGCAGUGUGUCUGGUGACCCACGGGGACCAUGAUGAAAAUUCAUCUUCCAGAAGGUCCCAGAGCGUCCAGACCCCCUGAAAAGACCAAGGUGUGAGGUGUCUGCUGUUGAUUCCAGCUUCCACCUCAGUGACAGUGCAAGCUCAGUGAACUGUUCAAGCCUGGCUGAUCACCUGAUAACUCCUGUCAUCUGGUUAUGACAGCAUGAGGAUGUCCUCACACACCUGUAACCUAUCAGCUCAUCUGGCAGAAUAGAGAGAGAAGAGACAACACCACAUCUCCUGUUCCUGGAAAGCCUUCAGCCUUCCUUCGAUGACUGAGAACCUCCAUCAGCUCUGUCUCCUGUCUGCCUACAAUUAUUAUAAUAAAUAUUGUGUUUGACAAGUUUUUUGUGCUGCCAAAUAUCUCAUUUAGAUUCCAGUUUUGAUAUUUUAAUGGAUAUUUAUAAAUUACAUUGAAUAUCACAUUUUUGUUGCAUGUUUAACUAGCUAUUGUGAUUAAUUAAACUAGCACCUCACUGUUAAAAGCUCGUUCUAAUUUCAAGCAUGUUUAAGUAUUUAUGGACAUGAACAAAAACAGGAAAUAUAUAAAUUGAGAUUUAUUUAAUUAAUAUAACAAAUAAGGGGGAAAGAGUCAUUGAAAGGCACAUUCUUCUGGAAGUUCCUGAUCCUGAGGACACCAGCAGAGGAGACCAGCUGCAGACACCAGAGACCAGCUGCAGACACCAGAGGACCUAGAACCGAGAGAGCAGCUGUUAUUAGUAAAUAAAUAAAGAAAUCAGGGCAGUUUUAGUGGGCUGAACACAUUACAGAAUAAUUUUCUCAUGGGGUAUUUUCAUAACUUUAUAUGCAGCAGACUGUACCUUGAGCCCAGGGCUACCGGAGAGCUAUCCAGCAUGUUUCAGUGGAUUUUCCUGCUUUAACAGGUUAGAUUAGCUGUUAAGCAGCUCAGCUAUUUGUUGCUGAUUAAAACCAGGUGUGCUGAAGCAGAUAAACCUCUAAAACAUGCUGAAUACUAGCUUUUUGGGGCCGUGGAGACAAACCCUGCAGCUAAUCCAAUGCUAUGGCUAACGGCUACUUACCUUUCAGAGGUGAUUCUGUUGGGUCGGUUCUGGGAGUUUCAGGCAACUCACAAGCUCAAAACAAUAAGACUCAGGUCCGCUUGUCUCCUCCAAAUAGACUUGGUCCCUUUCUUCUCGAGUGUCUGUAAGGAGGGGGAGAAACGUCCUCCACUUCUAUCAACUGCUCAGAGUGAAGGGAGCUAGCUUCGUCUAGUUAGCCAUCGUCUUCGUCACUGCCGCGGCUCCGCCCUCUCGGUCCUCCAGGCAACGCCUACUAAUGUUGCAUUUUUUAAAAUUGAUACGUGGGUGGAGAAGGACUCCGAGGCUCAAUUGACCCGCUCUUUAAGUCAGCUUUAUCUUUGUGUUUCCUGCUGUUUUCCUUCUCUGGUUGAGCGUGUGCAUUUUUUUUUGUUGAUGUGCUGUCAUGUUAGUCGGUUCACUGUAUUAAAGGGUUUCAUUAUCUGUGAUUUGUCUCAAAACCUGUGAUUUGGGUACUCUACUUGCUGUUUUAUGACAGUUUGAUAAUUCUCAAGGUGAUGAUGCACAAAGAGAAAUGUGAUAGACUGUUACAAAGAUACUUUUCUAACUAUAAGCUAAGGAAACUUCUUGUCUCUUUUUUCUUCUUUUUUUGUGUGAGUGUCAUCCCUUGACAUAUCAGCUUAGAUGAAAUGUCAGAUCAGAGGCAAAACACUCUGCAAUCCAAACUCACUGACACACUUUCUGAGAACCUGCUUAUUACCAAAGAGUGUCAUGAGGAGGGAUCUCCAGAUAAGUUGCCAAUGUAUCACUGGGCCACGUAUUUGAACCAGACUGAUUGUUCCAGACUGAAAUUUGGUAUGCAGUCGUGAUUCAAUAAAAACACAGAUAAAUAAUGAGACUAUUCGGCACUUACCCCCAAAUUCCACUACCUCCGCUCCGGUCCGCCCCCGCCUUCCGCAGCCGCUGGCUUCCGAACUCAAUUUUUACUGGUACCCGCUCUACAACGACUCCGCUCCGGUGCGGAGACCUGAGGUGGGCAAACAAGCAUGCGCGGGAUUUUCGAGAUCUUGCGAUACAGUCCGAGCAAUAAACGCGGAAGUUAGAUCCAAACACCCGUUGUGUGGGAGAAGCAUCAGCAUGAACUGUUUUAAUCUGACCAUCAUUUGUGUUGAGAGAUCAGCAGUGUUUGGAUCAACAAAGUGUGACUACUUUGAUAGUAGAAACUGUAUUUAUGGCUUACUUUUGUGCAUUUAAAGUUCAGCCGCCUUUGAUAGUUGUUAAAAGUUGUUAAACCUGCGCAUAUGAAACAAAAAACGCCUUUUGUUUAUCGAUUUAUUGUGAAAAACGGAAGUUAUGUUUGCUCCUUUUCCUGUUGGACGGUUGUGAUUUCUGUCCAUUUACUGCGGAGGUGCUCCGGCAUCCGGCGAAAAUAGGAUCGAUUCUAUUUUUGCCGGACGCCGGAACAGAGGGCGGCGCACGGCACCGCACUGCUGGAGCACGGCCGGAGCACGGCCGCAGUAGUGGAAUUGCUCUGAUUGACUACAACGGGACCGAUUUUGCUCCGGCGUUCGUGUCGGAGCGGAGCGGAGGUAGUGGAAUUUGGGGGUAAGUCCACUCAUAGGUGCAAUGCAGAACAAAGUAAACAUGCGUCUUUUAGGUCUGUAAGAGGAAACUAGGGUACCUGCAGAGAACCCAAGUAUGCGGAAGGAGAAAAUGCAAACUUCACACUGAAACACCACAGCUGGAAUUUGAACCUUCAGUCUUCUUGCUGCAAGGCAACAGUCUUACCUACUGCACGCCUACUUCACACCUACUGAAAUGCAUUGACCGUUAUGUCGGUGUAUUGUUGUACAAAGAGGUGCAUAUCUAAACAUGUGCUUAGCAAGUUUUGUUCAACAAAUGCAUCAAGUUGUUAUCAAUGCAAUCAGUUCCUAUACUUUCAGUUAAAUUGAAUCUUCAUCUACAUUCCCGUUUUCAUUUUGUAACUUAAGGGUUUGGUGCCCUAAUUUGACCUGCAAUCAUUUUUCACAUAUAAACAAACUUGCAUUUCAUGGGAAGAUGUAUUUAUGAAUUUCUUUCAACCAUAAGCCCUUUUUAGAAGACACCGUGCCAGCAAAUCAGCUUAAUGCCGCCACCACAGUGUGUAUUAUGAACGUGGCAUGGUGUUGCAGGACAUGCCACCACUCUUUUUAGUAAUAUUCCCGCAACGCCAGACUUGUGAAUGCAUUUUACGCCUUGGCACAACAGAGUGAGGUGUCAGGAUCAGGUGUGGAGCUGGUGCCGAGCUCCGGCCGGCUAUAAUUCUUAAAAAUAAAAUUAUACAUGGGCUGUAGGUAUUGCUUAUAGCUGAGAUGAUAAACUGGAGCGAUGCAGAUUUCCCAGAGCUGGAGCUCAGAUCACCAGAGACUGCACAGGGACUGUGAGAGAAAGCCACCUUUAGGAGCAGCUAGUUAAAUAAAAACUUAAUGAGCACAGUAAAAAGCAAGUUAGGUCCAAGUGAAAUGUACAAACGUGGCAAUGCCGACUGCCCCAUACCCCUUUUUUACCUCCAUUGCAUAAACUUUUGUAAAAAGGACACAAUUGCAUUUGCACCACAUUACCGCCACAGUCUGACCACUCACAAAUGACCUAAGGCUCCCUGAUGCCAGCUCAGCAUUUCAGCAAAUUGGUGGCAUUGUUUUCUAAAACAAGCUAUAGAUUCAAGUAUCAUAUAAUUUAGGAGCGUAAAAAUUGUAAAACAUCGUACAUUCAUUUUGAAUUAUCUACAUGUAUGUCUCAUAAAGAAACAUAAAUGUGGUAUACAUUUUUCAAAUGGCAGCUUCCAAGCAUUCAUCUGAUCAAAAACACAACUCAUUGAUACAUGUAUUUAAGUCUGUUUCCAGUGAAAAGAAAACAUUUGGGUUCAUUGAACAAUUUAAUAAGUGAACUUAAUUUCUUAACUUUACCCUUCUCUAACAUAAUCUGAGUCCUAUCACUGUGGGAGGUUAAAGGCGUCUCCCUGAACAUGAGGCGUUUGGGUAUGAUGGACUUUACUGUGAGUGUGUGGCUCAUUGGUACAAGGUUAAGUGAGUAUCUGCUGGUCUCAGAACAUAUGGCCAUUAGGCUUAAAGAGUGCCAGCGCAUGGUGGCAGGUGGAGGCCAUUACAAUUUAUCUAACAGAACCUCAUAACAUAACAUGUGAUGGUCAACAGAAGUCUCACAAAAGGGGCCAGACGGCGCAGCUCUGAUUGGAUUAACCUUCAGACAGACACAACAAUCCUGUUUCCAUAUAGAUUGGUUUUGGACUCCCUGCUGUCUGAUUCUAAUCUGACUUUCAUUUCAAUAUGCUUGCAUAAUUUCCUCAAGUGGAAGUUUCAUAAAGGAGAAUAGGUGUCUCUAAACCAGUAGAGGAUGUUACCCAUGUGUUUCGAGGUGAUCCAGGAAACAGACAGAUCUUCCCCUAAUUACAUACACUCCAAAAAAAAAUGGCACCAGCUAAAACUGUUGUAUAAGAUUUAGCUAAAAUGUAUAAAAUCCAAACUGUUAUUUAACAAAAUAGUUCCAACUAAAAUCAAAUGUACUAAGUGUUAACCUAAACUCGGCCUCUUUAGUAAACCAUGCUUUAUCAAAUCACCUUUUUCGGACUUUUAAAUAAUUUUCUAGGAUGCAGCAAAUCUCCAGUCAUUUGUGCUUCUUUCCAGCUGAAGAAGAAUAAAGAACACGUUCAUUCACCCCGCAAAAAAAAAAAAAAAAAUCUUGAACAUAGUUUUUACCAUCUAAAAUGUGUAUAGAAGAUUUAACUAAAAUUUAUAAAAUCACAAUUGAUAUUAAUUAAAACGGUUUAACACAAGUCAAAUAAACAUGAACAUCAGAACAGGUUACCUUAAUAGUGGAUCUUUUAUUGACUUUGUAGUGUAAUAAACUAACAUGUAAAAUUUACUUGUAAUUAAAUUACAUAAAAUCUACGUUUUCAGCCAACCUUUUUUUUAGUGUACUGGCUCCAUGUCAACACAUGAUACAGUAUUUAUAGCUCUGUUUUUAUUUAGAUUUGUGUUUUUUGUUUCUGAUUCUUGUCAUUGUUUCUGUUAGAUAUGCUAACUAUUGUUUCUUGAGCCAGAUGUGCUGACAGAUGCUAUCAUCUUGGUCCAGAGGAAGAAGACAGAUGACCUGUCUUUAAUAACUGAAGCGGAGAAACUGUAUUUGUUUAUUUAGUUGGUAACUCCGGUUCUAUAUUUGCAUUUUUUACUUGUAAUUUUUACUCCAGCUUCCUGCAUCAUAUUGUAUUAUAUGAAAUAUUGUGUAUAGUGUCUCUUGCUGAAUAUUUAGGACUGAAAGAAACAUUUUAGGUUUUUAAGGUAAUAGGCUGGGCUCUGGGUGGUCAAAUAUGACAAAAUCAAACAGAAAGUAAACCCUACAUUACCUUAAAUACAGCUCAAGAAGCCCACUUGAAAAUUUAUUUGAACACAAACACAAGAAAGCAUUUCCCAAGUCCCCGUGGAGCUGGAUCUUUAUGACGCAGUCUUUCAGCAUUCUUUCUGGACCCUUUGCCAACAUUGCAAUUAAAACACAGCUUGCUUUAUUUACAAGACCAUCUCAUUUAAUUAAUCCUCGUACAGCUCAACAGCCCGGGCACACCAUAAGAAAAGAACUGCUGCUUUGCUUAAUUACAGCAGAAAGGAAAUUUUAAUAAAGCUAACAGAAGAACUCCACACACAACCAGGAAGCCAUUAAUUAGAUGAAGGUAUUCCUGCAGGAAUGGAAGUAAAAUCAGCUGUGAAACAGAAACCAACAACACAGCCACGGGCUUUAAACUGACUUUUGAUUUCAGAUUAAAGAUUCACUGAAGAGAAUGAAGGCAUAUCAGGGCCACUCAGAAAGAAAAAAAAAUAAUUUAAUUUUGCCCAGAUUUAAAAAUGAAUUAUUAAUGAAUUGUUUAAAAUAAAAUUAAAACUGUAUUCCCUCAAUUCCCAAAAUAACAGCAGCAACUCAUAAGUUAAUUAAUCAUAUGUGAUGAAUGAAUAAGAUGUUUACAUGAAAUGUUUGAAUAGUCUGUGGUUAAAUCAAUGAAUUUGAAAUGAAUAUUGUUCUUACAAUGAUCCAUUUAUAUCACAAAUCACUAUGUGCUUGAUUUAACAAGUUAAUCAUUAUCUAUACUUAUACACAUCUUCAUAAGAUACAAAUCAAGCUUAAGGUUCACCUCACAUAACAUUUAAAGAUUCUUUAUUUACAGAAUUAAGAAGCUUGUAUCUGAAGGAAGGAGUGGCUUUCUGAGGAAUGUUUUGGUAAAGCCUUCCAGACAUGGCACAUUGUGAUUUGCCAGAAUGGCCAGAAAUAAUAAUAUUGUGGUUUAUUAAAACAUGAUUUACUUCCCAAUUAAUUCAGUUUACAGCUGAAACCGGAUUCGGCCAAAUCGGGAAUAAGCCUCUUUUGAAACAUCUCUUUCGACAUACAGUCAGCCUGUUUGCUCACUGCAAGCUGACACAGCCAGACAGCUCCCUAAGUGCCACAUCCUCUUUGGAUGCAAACAAGCCUUCCAGCUACCCUUGUGACCUGGAAACAUCUCAAGAUUGGACGGGUCGUAUCAGAUUUAUUCUACGAAAUCCCGGUGCCGUGACGUCCACCCGACUUCUGACAGUCUGGAUCUGCUGGGGGUCUCCGCCGAGGUUUGCAGACACAACAGAUUGCGUCUGAUGCUGUUUUAUUAAUAAUCAACUCUCUAGUUUAUAGCAGACAAUAAAUUCUUUCACACGCAGAUUUCACAAUUUAUUUCAGAUACAAAGAUUCUGAUAAACAUCUUGCUUACAUCACACCACCUAUACAUCACACUCUAUCACCACAUAUCCUCUCCAUCACAUCUCCUUAUUCAUGUCUUGUCAUGUAUAAUCAUUAGUUUAGACAAGAAUAAAAUUCUUUUUUAACUAUAUACCUGACUCUGUCUGAAUUAAUACGAAGUGUGUUUGUGGUCCCUGCACAAGCAAAGAACCCUAGAAUCUUCUGAUUAAACAUUCAAAGAUGAAUCAGAUUGAUAUUUCAUAUUUAUAUGGAAUAAUCACACCUUAUUGGUCAUAAUUAAUUAGCAGUCGUCACGCAAUAAAGAGUGACCGCUACAUAAGUGGCGAGCCCAGUACAGUCUUAUUCAAAUCAUUUUACACUUCAUGUUUUUUUCUGACUCAUUUAAUACAUUAAACAGUUGUUCUGCUGAAAUGGAACGGGGCUUCCCAUUUGCUUACCUUCAGGGGUGCUGUCCCUAUCUCUCACCCAACUCUGUGUCUGCACUAAGCUGCAUAUAUUACUGUUUGUUGUUAAAAGUGAGUGUGUGUUCAUUCUAUCUCAUUAUUUUACACGUACGUAAUGCUUGUGUAACUGGAAGACAGAUAAAUCCUGUUUUCCGACGUUACCACAAAGCUACAAUCCUAAUCCUGGCCAGGUCAGCUGAGAUUAAAACUACGUUUCAACGCCAAAUUCCGGACAUAAUUCUGAAGUUCAUACCGGAGAUAUUACCUUUUUGGUUAAUAUUCCAGACAUCACGUCUGAAGCUGUGUUCGUUUUAGCUACACAGACGCGCAUUUCUUAUCCCCGCACAUAGUCACCGCCACAACCUUUAGCUCUGAUUACAGCACGCAUUCACUGUGGAGUUUCAAUAAGCUUCUGCCAUCUCACAAGAUUUAUUUCCAUCCAGUGCUGCAUUAAUUUGUCACCUAGGUCUUGCAUUGAUGAUGGUAUCGUCUGACCACUGCACAAAGCCUUCUCCAGCACAUCCCAAAGAUUCUCAAUGGGAUUAAGGUCUGGACUCUGUGGUGGCCAAUCAAUGUGUGAAAAUUAUGUCUCAUGCUCCCUGAACCACUCGUUCACUAUCUGAGCCCGAUGGAUCCUGGCAUUGUCAACUUGGAAUAUGCCCGUGCCGUCAGGGGAGAAAAACCUUGUCAGUCAGCUGACAUCAUUCUUGGAGCACAUCAUGCUGCUGAACCUAGACCUGACAAACUGCAGCAGCCCCAGAUCAUAGCACUGCCACCACAGAUAGGCACUAGGCAUGAUGGGUGCAUCACUUCAUCUGCCUCUCUUCUUACUCUGGUGCGCCAUCACUCUGGAACAGGGUCCGUCUGGGCUCAUCAGACCAGUCUUAUUAAUGCGUUGGACAGUUCUUAACCCAGUUCUAGUCGUUUCUGCAUCUCCUUAGAUGUUUUCUCAAACAUCUUUUCCACGACCACAUUUGUCUUUGCACAUGGUUGUUUAAAGAGCAAGUCACCCCCAAAUCGACAUUUUUUGGCUGAUAAACUUUAUAAACGAGUGUCUAAUCAUGCUGUAGACACUUGUAGUCAGUAAUUUGGCACUUUAGUGCAUCCUAGUUUAAAUUUAAAUAUUCUGCCUAAAAUUGUCAGUGUUGUGCCAUUGGCAAAGAUGUACACAAUAAUGUUAGCUGUUUCAUUAUGAUGUCAUAAUGUGGUUGUGAGCCUGUGGCUGUGUCUCAAUUCAGGGUCUGCAUCCUUCGUCGGCCGGAUUCGUCGGCCGGUUACGUCACAGCGCCGCGACAAGGCCUGUUCCAAUUCGAAGACUCCUUCAAAUGCGGUCGACGAAUCCGGCCUUCUUUUCGCCUUGAAUGAAGGAUGGGUCCGGUGUAUCCUUCAAUGGUUUACAUUUCCCAAGAUGCCUUGCGGGCCGGAUGGUAGAACUUUUAAAAACAAUGGCGGACAGUGAAGCGGGAGCUGUCGGAGAGGAUUGCGCAUAUAAAUGUCAGUAUAAACUUGAAAACUGUUAGGUUAAGGGCUUUUUGUGAUACAUGAACGUUAUUUUAGUUUGAAAUGUUACAGUAAAAGUGCUUGUAUUGCGGUCUCGGCUCGUAUGUUCGGCCGUUCGGUGUCGUACUUCUCCCGCUACGUUUUCCCCCUGAUUUUAAUAGAAGUUUAUAUUUCAAUCAAUAUAUUUUAGCGACAUAAGAGAAAACCACGGACUUUAUUAAGCUUAGGGCAGAGAUGGAGGGCGGAGAUGGACCACAUGUUCACUGGAGCAAAGUGUUCGGCGGCUGUGGCAUGGAGACUAUUCUGGAGAAAAUGGGCAUCCAGGGGAAGGUGACAGUGAUGACCAGCUUCUGGAGCUGAUCAGGGAGGACAUGAGGCUGCAGAGGGAGGCAGAGCAGCAGAGGGCACAGGAGAGAAGGGAGAACUUUGACAGGCUUUUUACUUUGCUAGAAAAAAUGGUUAAGGAAGAUUAAUCAUGUACAUAUAAAAGAAAUAUAUAAAUACAAUCAGUUCUGCAUUAAACACUUGAAUUUUAUUUUUGUUUACAAAUGUGAAUUGUUUAAUAUUACAGGGUAUUCGCUGGGUCUUGAAAAGUCUUAAAAGGUGAUAAAUCGGUUUUGGUCAAAUUAAGACCCUUAGAAAGUAUUAAAAACUAUUAUCACAUCUUUGCUCAGGCUCAGCUUGCUGAAAGUAUUUUCUCUGAAUUAGCUCUCCAACAGUCAAGGAAAUGAUAAAAAAGCUAAAUAAAACUUCGAGCUCCAUUGUUUAAAGUUCCUUCUCCCUUCGGCUCAGUGGUUCCAUGGUUGCAAGGCGACGGAACGUUCGCAAGGGAGUGGCGGGAAUUCAUUACGGCUAGGCCUGUCCAAAUUCACAGUCGUUAACAUCCGGUCUACUAGGACGACGGAGGACGCAGCCCACGUCGGCCGAGUAGGCUGGGUCCUUCGAAGGAUGCAGACCCUGAAUUGAGACACUGCAUGUGUGUGUGUGUGUGUGUGUGUGUGUGUGUGUGUGUGUGUGUGUGUGUGUGUGUGUGUGUGUGUGUGUGUGUGUGUGUGUGUGUGUGUGUGUGUGUGUGUGUGUGUGUGUGUGUGUGUGUAUUUGUAGCGGCUCCGCCUUCUUGGUCUGCCAGGCAACAGCAUUUGUUGCAUUUUUCAAACAGGAAGUGGGAGUGGAGUAAGACUCUGGUAGGGGGUGACUUGCUUUUUAACAAAUGAGAAACAACUCAUUGCACAAGUUGGGGUAUAUUACUUGUUGCCAGCUGAAAGAUAAUUGCCCUUGCAGUGAUUAUCCAAUACCUGUUUGCUCAUCCCGAAAAAAGUAGCCACCUGGAUUUAACUACGCAAUUUAUUUAAAGUUUGUUGAGAGCUCCAUGUGUAAAUUUAAUCUUUUGUAUUUUUUUAUAUUAAAACCUAUUAACUACGCAAUUUAUUUAAAGUUUGUUGAGAGCUCCAUGUGUAAAUUUAAUCUUUUGUAUUUUUUUAUAUUAAAACCUAUCUUGAAGUAUAAAGUCAUCAUAGUUCAUUUACAUAAGACAUAAUUUGUGUUUUUCCAGCACACACUGUGGGUCAAACUAGAUAUGGUUUUUGUGCAAGAGCUGAUCUGUUCAGUGAUUUAUUUUCUUUUAUUCUUUAAUUUACAAUUUUGUGAGAAGUUCACUUUAUUCUGGAAAUGCUGUUUGAUAUUUGUUUUCUUAGCAAUUAAAUUUUAAUAACAAAACUACCUUUUUUAUUCUUUUUCCUUUUCAGGCCUAUUUUAAUCAGCAAUCUCAUACUGAAAUAUUGUGAACUUUGCUUUUUGUAAAUGAAGCUUGUUAAAGCAUCUACCCUGCUUCUGCAGCUGUCUGCUGGGUGAACAGCGUCCAGGCCUCACACAAUAAAUGAGGAUUUAUAUAUGAAUUCUGAUGACAUGAUUUAAAUGGAUGUGGCCCAGGCUCAGCCUAGGUUCUUACCAUAGAACAACCAUUCACACACAGCAGAAAGCCACUGUGUAGCAAGGCAAUCAUCAUCGUUUUCAAUGUGAGUUGUGCUUUGGCCCUCAGAAUAACAUUCUGACAAUGGCAGGUUUCAGCUCAUUCUCUGUAAUGCCAUUUUCCAAGCGUGAACGCCAAACUUGCUGUGAGCGUAGCUUAUUAGAGACAACUAAAACAAAGAAAAAUAUGUAAGAAUAGGCUGAUUGCUGAAGGCGCAGUGCCAUUUUUGUCUCACAGCUCUGCCAAAAAGUCACUGAGUCAUUAUAUGUAAAUGUAUUGCUCUGAAUCACAGCUGAGACUUACCAAUCUAACACAGACACAAUAACAAAUAAAAUGACAAAGCUUUGUGUUAAAGUGGGUUACGGACUCUUUUUGUUUAGUUUGAUGUUUUGUUUUUUUGCCCUUUAUAUCAACACUUUUUAUAAAAAAGUUUUUUUUUUAUUAGACAACAUAUAAAACAGUGGAAACUAUAAAACUGAAGAUUUCAAAUAAUCAAAAGAUUUAAAUAUUCACUUUUAUUUCUUUGAGAUUGAAGGACACUGGUGAAUAAAUUAACUUGUAGACAAACAUGUUCUUGUGUCAACAUUCAUUCUGAUCAAUUCCUGUGACUUGCAACAUUUAUACUGCAGACUGUCAUGUCCUGUGUCCUGUCCAUGUCCUCCCUGUCCCUUCCAUACCCCAUCUCCCUUGCCCCUGGUCCUCCCAGACUUCAUUCAGCUUUCUCACAUCAUUUACUGUUUUAAUUGUUGCAAUCAUACUGAAAUAGUACAACUUUAGCUAAAUGUUUGGGGCUAGCAGGUCAUCCAACUUUUUAGCACAUUUUAGUUAAAACAUAUUUUUAAAGCAAACACUAAAGAGACAAAUAUCCUAAACAAAAUAUUCCACGCAAAAAAUGUUUGAAUGAAAGUUUAAACAUUACCUGACAUUAUUAUUAUUAUUAUUAUUAUUAUUAUUAUUAUUACACUAAUGCUAUUAUUGCUACAACUUUAAAAUUUAAUAACCCUUUUGACUCAAAUGAAAAUAAAAAUGGCUUUCCACAGGGCUCCUUUUUUAUGGUGCCAAUGUUAAAGUUACCAGCAAACCUCAUCUGACAGUCUUACAAAGGUUGGAGCAAAUAUUUUUGUCAUAUUUCAGUCAAAGUUGGCUCACUCACGCCUCGGUUUGUUCAUGAUAAACGUUCAUUCCAUUCACAAAUUGGUUGCCAUCCCAAAGUUUUUUCACAUUUCUCUCACUUUCUCACUAAAGCUAAAUUUAGAGAUUUCCAGAUGCACAGCACACGUGGAACCAUUAUAAGAGUAAGGAUCACCAGUAUGUCACUAAUAUACAAUCAUUUUAAUAUCUGAACACGUUAAUAUGUUAAUAUGAAGAAAAGUUUGGUUUACUGUAGGCUGUUGCAACUCAUCAGUUUUCCAGAAAUCAAAGAUUUCAGUAGGUCUGAUUUACCUGAGAUAAUGUCGUUAUAAGAACUUUAUUCUAGCUGAGCAGCCUAUUUGGUGCCAUUUAUUGUUAAAGCAGGGGAGUUAUAGUAGACAAAGAAGAAAGCAGACUGGAAAUCAAUGAAAGUGCAUGCAGUGCCAUGGUCACAGGUGGAAAAUUGCAGGAAACAAAACCCAGCUCAGUCAGAGAGAGCGUGAGAACCUGGAAAAGGUAAAAGGUUUGCCUACUGUCAUGAACAGGGUCUGACGUGUUCCAAAAAAUCUUUUUAUUUUGGUAAAUAAAACUAAAUCACAACAGAAAAACAAGAUUUUCAAAAUGAAAACAUUAUAGAGCAGAAUAUCAGCUAAUUUGAAGUUCCAUUUGUUCCACCAUAACAAACAUAAAGGAUGUCGGAUUUUCAUAAAAGCAGCAAACGAGAAGCAAACUGACAUUUGAUGGGAUUUUCAGAGAAACAGGAAAUAUAAAUAUACAAGUACGUAAGGGGUCUUUCUAUUCCUGGUAUGGCUCAGAGGAAGUGAAUGCAGAAGUUCUUAUAAUGAAGAACGCAGGAACUUUUUUCAAUAGAAACAUGGUUUAAUUUUAUUUCGAACAAAAAAUCAAAGAAGGUAGAAUACAAAUGACCAAACCAAAGUCACUUUGAAUUCAGACACGUAUGUGGGAUCAGCUUUACCUAGCACUCUGUCUGAGGCCCAGUACCAAUACUCGCACUGACCCUACAGUCUUCAGCAGAGUGCACUUGGAGGAAGUGUGCAGUAAGGCUUCGAGUGCGUAGUGCACAAGUGAGCAAAUAAUUGCCAAAUUGGGACAGCGAACAUUGUGUCAUCGACCACAAAGCAUGCUGGUCACUGUUUGUGCUAUUGUUUCAAAAAUCUUUAUUAACUUUAAAACAAUUUCUUGACAACAUUUACAUUAACUGCUGUCCACAUUAAAUCUUAGCCUAAAUCAUUCAAAUCAUGAAUAAAUAUCAUUAAUCGUCUUAAAAUUAACUUUUUUUUAAACAUCUUUUCACUUGACGGCACUUGAGCCAUUGUUUUGCCUUCUUCUCAAAAUUCCCACGCAGCAUUGGAUUGUGGAAAAGUGCAGAUCAAUGUAGUCAACUUCUGCACUUGAGGAAUGGGACACCCAACGCACUUGCACCCUGGAUUGGAAUACACAAUUCAAGGGUGGAAGUGUAAGUAUUGGGAUUGGGCCAGAGUUGUGACACUU